AGGGUAAUUAAUCACUAUAGCAACAAACAAGGGAGCUGAGGAAAGGAGCCUAACACAGGAACGAUGGGAACAGAAAAUAACAUUUCAGUUCAUUUUUAGUCCAUCUCUGCAAGAUUUUCAGGAUUUUCAGGAUAGGAGAUAGACUAAAAAUGAACGGCCAAAACUUGCUGCCGGAUGAAUUCUUCAAACAGAGGUUCAAGAGGAUGUGCUGCUGGAUUCUUUACCUCGUCUCUGAGAUCCUGACAGCUGGCACUUCUGGAGACUCCAAGACCGAGGCCGGCUCUUCUCCCCCUCACUCUCUCUGUGAGCCAUAAGCAAUGGAGGCAAUUUAGCUAGAACUCCAGUGUAUUGAUCAAACCCCAGUGAAAUAAAUAAGCUGCCAGACUCGUGCCAAUCACAGCUGACAGCGUAUGAGGAGCUGGACCUGUUCUCCAUGUCACAUCUCACAGCAAUAAAUAAGAAGAGAAAUAAAGAAAUAAAAUCACGCUCUGUUGCUUUCAAUCUCAGACAAAGCCAGUCUGAAAAGCGUGGAUGUAUCGAUACAGUUAUGAGACUCAUCCUUCACUGAGCUUAUGAAAUAAAUGCAAUAAUUGCUCAUGCUGGAAGUUCAUUUAUAUGAUAUCCUAGUUAAUGCAUUUGCUUUUUAGAAGACUUACAGUUACACUCU
Long non-coding RNA from Megalobrama amblycephala (Wuchang bream), 667 nucleotides. RefSeq lists it as uncharacterized. The record is from RefSeq and is a predicted model, not a curated record. The transcript is spliced from 3 exons. NCBI's taxonomy places the organism in Eukaryota, Metazoa, Chordata, Actinopteri, Cypriniformes, Xenocyprididae.